GAUAACCUACCUAUAAGACUGGGAUAACUUCGGGAAACCGGAGCUAAUACCGGAUAAUAUUUUGAACCGCAUGGUUCAAAAGUGAAAGACGGUCUUGCUGUCACUUAUAGAUGGAUCCGCGCUGCAUUAGCUAGUUGGUAAGGUAACGGCUUACCAAGGCAACGAUGCAUAGCCGACCUGAGAGGGUGAUCGGCCACACUGGAACUGAGACACGGUCCAGACUCCUACGGGAGGCAGCAGUAGGGAAUCUUCCGCAAUGGGCGAAAGCCUGACGGAGCAACGCCGCGUGAGUGAUGAAGGUCUUCGGAUCGUAAAACUCUGUUAUUAGGGAAGAACAUAUGUGUAAGUAACUGUGCACAUCUUGACGGUACCUAAUCAGAAAGCCACGGCUAACUACGUGCCAGCAGCCGCGGUAAUACGUAGGUGGCAAGCGUUAUCCGGAAUUAUUGGGCGUAAAGCGCGCGUAGGCGGCCUUCCAAGUCUGAUGUGAAAGCCCACGGCUCAACCGUGGAGGGUCAUUGGAAACUGGAAAACUUGAGUGCAGAAGAGGAAAGUGGAAUUCCAUGUGUAGCGGUGAAAUGCGCAGAGAUAUGGAGGAACACCAGUGGCGAAGGCGACUCCCUGGUCUGUAACUGACGCUGAUGUGCGAAAGCGUGGGGAUCAAACAGGAUUAGAUACCCUGGUAGUCCACGCCGUAAACGAUGAGUGCUAAGUGUUAGGGGGCCUCCGCCCCUUAGUGCUGCAGCUAACGCAUUAAGCACUCCGCCUGGGGAGUACGACCGCAAGGUUGAAACUCAAAGGAAUUGACGGGGACCCGCACAAGCGGUGGAGCAUGUGGUUUAAUUCGAAGCAACGCGAAGAACCUUACCAAAUCUUGACAUCCUUUGACAACUCUAGAGAUAGAGCCUUCCCCUUCGGGGGACCCAGUGACAGGUGGUGCAUGGUUGUCGUCAGCUCGUGUCGUGAGAUGUUGGGUUAAGUCCCGCAACGAGCGCAACCCUUAAGCUUAGUUGCCAUCAUUCCGUUGGGCACUCUAAGUUGACUGCCGGUGACAAACCGGAGGAAGGUGGGGAUGACGUCAAAUCAUCAUGCCCCUUAUGAUUUGGGCUACACACGUGCUACAAUGGACAAUACAAAGGGCAGCGAAACCGCGAGGUCAAGCAAAUCCCAUAAAGUUGUUCUCAGUUCGGAUUGUAGUCUGCAACUCGACUACAUGAAGCUGGAAUCGCUAGUAAUCGUAGAUCAGCAUGCUACGGUGAAUACGUUCCCGGGUCUUGUACACACCGCCCGUCACACCACGAGAGUUUGUA
RNAcentral lists this ribosomal RNA (1310 nucleotides) under Staphylococcus aureus. RNAcentral's name for it is "bacterial SSU rRNA". It matches the Rfam family "Bacterial small subunit ribosomal RNA", at positions 120 to 1416 of the family's 1533-position model. The record is from RNAcentral. Lineage: Bacteria; Bacillati; Bacillota; Bacilli; Caryophanales; Staphylococcaceae.